This is an RNA transcript of Hyla sarda, 1788 nucleotides long. It is a transcript of the gene named nudix hydrolase 6, with no coding region annotated. The transcript is spliced from 9 exons. The record is from RefSeq and is a predicted model, not a curated record. NCBI's taxonomy places the organism in Eukaryota, Metazoa, Chordata, Amphibia, Anura, Hylidae.
UUGUCUACCUCAUGUACAGUUUGCACGUUAUCAAUCAGAUAUCCCCAUUUACUUGUAUCCCCAUUUACUCAGUGCUGGUUAACUGAGGCUCUUAAGUGUAACGAUGAAUAUGCCAGUAACAAACAUGGCGGCAUGAGCGCCAGCUGAUUAAAUAAGUUAUAUACUUUGAAGUAUAUGUUGGGAUGUUGUGGCUGGCAUCAUGCCGGGCGUGGGGCGCUGGAAUUCGGCACUCCAGUUUGUGGGGUCGGUCUCUCACUUCGGGGCCUGGGUCGGACCCCUGGCCGGAGGGCACGGUAGACAGAUUUGGGGGAGUGAGCGUACGACUGCAGCCGGGACACCAGAGGGACGAGGCUGCCUUCAGGAGCUGGUUACAGGGUGCCAUUAAAAGAUGGAGAGAAGAAGGCAGGAUUGCAGUUUGGAUGCACAUUCCCAUCAUGCUAAGUGGUUUGAUCACCUAUGCUGCCACAGAAGGGUUUACAUUUCAUCAUGCUGAAAAUGACACAUCCACACUGACCCUCUGGCUUUUCGAUGGUCCCAGCAAGCUGCCUGGAUAUGCGACGCACCAAGUCGGAGUUGCAGGUGCUGUUUUGGACGAAGUCUCUGGGAAAGUAUUGGUUGUACAGGACAGGAAUAAGACCAUGAAUACAUGGAAAUUUCCAGGAGGAUUGUCUGAUCUAGGUGAAGAUAUUGGAAUAACUGCCGUACGGGAAGUUCUUGAAGAGACUGGCAUUCAGUCAGAAUUUCAGUCCCUUUUGAGCAUAAGGCAGCAACAUAAGCACCCUGGUGCCUUUGGAAAGUCAGACAUGUAUAUUAUAUGUCGUCUGAAGCCUUUAUCUUACAGUAUUAAUUUUUGCCCUCAGGAAUGCUUGAGGUGUGAAUGGAUGGACCUUAAAGAACUUGCGUAUACAAGCAACACCACUCCCAUCACCAGCAGAAUUGCCAAAUUGCUCCUUUAUGGAUACAGGCAGGGGUUUCACCACAUUGACCUUACUGUUAAGACCUAUCCAGCUGUUUACUCUGGACUCUUUUACUCCCUGUACCACAAAGAAUUGCCAGCUACCUAUGAAACUCAAGAAUGACCUAGCAAGUUUCACAGUAAAACAAUACAUAUAUUUGUUAGUGUAUUACUGAAUCUUCAGGAAUGAUAAAUACCUCAACACAGAAACAAUAUACAUCUGGAAGGAAUCGUCACAGCGGUCUGAGCCAGAUAGAAAAGAAAAUGAAAGAGGACAACUCUAAUGAGAGAAGAUAUUGCCUAAACAAUUCACAUAUGGAAGAAAUCGUGCCAGAUAGAAAAUAAGAGGACAUCCCUGAACAGAGAGAAUAUUGCCUGUGAGUCCCACAAAGUUGCAGAGUCCUGAAUGCUGUAAACCUGCAAACUUUUUUCAUCAUGAAACAAGACUGGCAAAGGAUGGACUGCACAAGUGAAUUUCAUUAGUUUGAGACUGGUUACACCAGCUUUCCAGGAGUUAAAGAGGCCCAGAUGAGUAAGUCCCCCAGCUACAGCAUGCUGCGGUAGUAUUGUUAUUCAUUUGGUUCCAAAACUUGUAAUUGCGUGAGGCAGAUCCUGCCCCCACACCUCCAGCCAGCAGCCAAAGGAAACCACUAAUAGUCUGUGUGUUCAGCAUUACAGUGAAGAGCCUUAUAAAGUGUUGUUCCGGUCAUGAAAGUUAAAGACAGUCACCAGAGCACGAUGGAAAAAGUGAACUAUAGAAAACUUUACAAAAAUGCAUUGAAUCAUCUGACCUCAGAAGUUAUUACCUGAACCCACAAUUAAAUCAGCGACAU